Parelaphostrongylus tenuis is the source of this 72-nucleotide non-coding RNA. The record is from the annotation of a GenBank genome assembly. Lineage: Eukaryota; Metazoa; Nematoda; Chromadorea; Rhabditida; Metastrongylidae.
GCCUCGGUGGUGUAGUAGUAAAGCACGCGUCCCCGCAUAGAAUGAAACGCGGGUUGGAUCCCGCCUGAGGCC